Molecule: ribosomal RNA, 273 nt
Filed under: Triticum aestivum (bread wheat)
Lineage: Eukaryota; Viridiplantae; Streptophyta; Magnoliopsida; Poales; Poaceae
Description: partial small subunit ribosomal RNA
Source: RNAcentral
GAUCCGUAUGAUAUCGUCUACAGCAACAUACCAAAGAACACACACAUGUUCAGAACGGAAAAAAAUUGCAAGUUCUGUAAUGCAACGAAAUUGAAGUAUGAAUCUAAGGGGUUAUGUUGCAGAAAAGGGAAGAUAAGACUAGCCAAUCCAGAUACAGCACCUGAACUUAUGAGACUUUGGACAAGCAACGACUCUGAUGCAAGACAUUUUCGGAACAAUAUAAGAUUUUUCAAUGGACACUUCUCAUUCACUACUCUAUACUGCUAGCUUGAC